ACACUUUUAUCACAUAGCCUCAGGAAAUCUUUUACUAUUUGAAAUCCAAGGUCCUCAGAGACCAACAGCUCUUCUUUUCUUUUCUUUUUCAGACUUCAAAAAGUCCAGUGUUGAAGCAGUUCUGAAUUGAGAUCUCAUAAUUCCCAAGGACAUAGAUCCCUCGUUGGCUGCUCUUCAGAUUUCUCUCUUCAAUUCCAAGUGCAUCGUAUGUAAACAAUAGUGUCUGUGAUAGUGGAUGUGAUUGUGUGCUACCUGGAUCUCCUAGCUGAAAUCCUUCCAAGAAUUUCCUUCAGUCAAUGGGACCCACCUCCCCUGAGGUUAUGGCUCCAGGUGAAGAUUAAACAGCUGUAGAAGUGUCAUCCAAGAUUGACCAAUGCUGUUCCUGACAGUCCUUCCUGGAGAGCCAUCUGCACACACAUCUCAGUCUCAGAGUCUAUUUCCCAAUGAAUCUAAUCUGAGAGAUCUCUUCACUUGCUGUUUUUUCCCUGUAUGAAAUAGUUACUUUGUUUUACUUUAUUUUAUUAAGUUCAGUGGUACAUGUGCAGGUGUGUUAUAUAGGUAAAUUGUGUGUCAUGGGGAUUUGGUGUACAAAUUAUUUCGUCACCCAGGUAAUAAGCAUAGUACCUGAUAAGUAGUUUUUCAGCCCUCUUCCUCCUUCUCACCCUCCACCCUCAAGUAGGCCCUGGUGUCUUUUGUUCCAUUCUUUGUGUUCAAAUGUUUAGCUCUCACAAGUGAGAACAUGUAAUAUUUGUUUUUCUGUUCCUGUGUUAGUUCACUCAGGAUAAUGGCCCCAUCCAUGUUGCUUCAAAGAACAUGAUCUUGUUUCUUUUUAUGAUUGCAUAGUAUCCCAUAGUGUAUAUAUAUCACAUUUUCUUUAUCCAGUCUACUGUUGAUAGGCAUUUAGGUUGAUUCCAUGUCUUUGCUCUUGUGAAUAGUGUUGCAAUGAACAUAUGCGUAUAUGUGUCUUUAUGACAGAACUAUUUAUAUUCCUCCUGGCAUAUCCCCAGUAAUAGGAUUGCUGGGUCAAAUAAGAAUUCUGUUUUAAGUUAUUUGAGAAAUUGCCACACUGUUUUCCACAAUUGCUGAACUAAUUUACGUUCCCCCCAACAAUGUAUAAACAUUCUCUUUUCUCUGCAACCUCACAAGCAUCUGUUAUUUUUUGACUUUUUAGUAAUAGCCAUUCUGACUGGUGUGAGAUGAUAUCUCAUUGUGGUUUUGAUUUUCAUUUCUCUAAUGAUCAGUGAUUUUGAGCAUCUUUCAUAUGCUUGUUCACUGUAUGUUUUCUUUUGAAAACUGGUCGUGUCUUUUGCCCACUUUUUAAUGGGGGCUGUUUGUUUUUUGCUUGUUAAUUUGAGUCCCUUAUAGAUUCUGGAUAUUAGACCUUUGUUGGAUGCAUAGUUUGCAAAUAUUUUCUCCCAUUCUGUAAGUUGCCCUUUUUACUCUAUUUGUUUCUUUUGCUGUCCUGAUCCACUCUUAAUUCUAUGAUAAUUUCUGAUGGCCAAAUAAUGUUUUACCUUCUUUAAGAUUGUGAUUUGUGUUGCUAAGAACAUCAGAGAUAAGAUCCUAAAUCUUUAGACUUGUCUCUUGAAGUAAGCAGAAAACAGUGGCUAGUGUGCACAAAAUUCACAUUUCUUAGAGAUGUAAAGAGCCUUAGAAGCUGUCCCCUCCUCAAAUACUUCCUGAUGGUUUUGUGUGUGCUGUGAGCUCUGGUGGGCAUUUUCACCUUUGUUGUUUCUCAUAAUUACCCUGUUAACAUUUAGGUUAUUAUCCUAGUUUUAUAGUUGAUAAAACCAAGGCACAAAAAUGUGAAGUGACUUAUCAAGGAUUAAACAGAUGAAGAUGUGUCAUCAUUUUCUACUAAAUGAUAACCUGUGAUUUAUGAAUCAGAUUUCCCAUUUUACAGAUGGUAAAACUGAGGCUCAGAUACAGAUACUAAGUGAUAGAACCAGGAUACAGUUUCACUCUUUUGCUGGCCUACAAACCCUUUAUACUCUAUUCUUACCUCCCCAACAUGUUCUACUUUUUUUCAGAUGAGAAAACUAAGGCAAAAAAAAAAGAAAUCUCAAAUGGUUUCUCCCAUGUCAUAUAGCUAGACUGGUGGUGUUGAGUCUAGGCUCCAGAUUUUCUAUCUCCCACUCCACAACACCAGCUAGCUGUCCUGCUCAGCAUGCUCAGAAUCUGUAGGACUCCGGCUGCCUUUUCCAAACCUGGUCGGUGCAAUGGCAUUCUCACUUUGACUGCAAAACUCCUCACCAAAUAUAAAACUGAAAAUGUAGGCCACCUGUCCAUGUGAUUGUAUUUCAUAACUUAGAGCUAAAAAUAGCUCUCAGCUUGCUUGGCCUGUAUAUAACAUAUUAAAAGCUCAAAUUCAAAUUCACUCGUGUCUUGGAUUAAUGUUAAGAUUAUGGCUUUCCAGACUUCUUUCUCUCACAUUCUAUCUCACCCAGCAGGGAAUGGAUUGUGCUUGUCCACAUUAUUUUCUAUGUGAAUUACUGAGCUCUUAUUUUCAAAGAUGAAUUUCAUGACCUUAUGCUCUUUGCUGUACCUGCAGAAUUCAUUUUGGAGGGCACAGACUCUAGAACCAGACAGCAGGGUAAGGCUGGGUAUCUGUGGCCAAGGCAUGAAAACUUUGUCUUGAUUUCCUCAUCUGUGAAAUGGAGAUGAAAUCAUACAUAUUUCCUGAGGCUGUUUUGAGAAGUAAACAAACUAAUUCAUGGCCAGUGUUUAGCUAAAAUUUGGACACACACACACAGAGUGGACAAAUAGGAUAAUUAAAAGCAAAAAUCAACAAAAUAAAAAAUCACCACCACAUAGCAUGACCAAUUUG
Long non-coding RNA from Pongo pygmaeus (Bornean orangutan), 2827 nucleotides. RefSeq lists it as uncharacterized. NCBI's taxonomy places the organism in Eukaryota, Metazoa, Chordata, Mammalia, Primates, Hominidae. The record is from RefSeq and is a predicted model, not a curated record. The transcript is spliced from 3 exons.